UCCUCCAUAGCUCAGUCAUUAGAGCGUCCAACCGGCACCUGGAAGGUCAUGGGUUCGAUUCUCGUUGGGGAGCUCAGAA
RNAcentral lists this transfer RNA (79 nucleotides) under Desmophyllum pertusum. RNAcentral's name for it is "tRNA-Ala". It matches the Rfam family "tRNA". Rfam says of the family: Transfer RNA (tRNA) molecules are approximately 80 nucleotides in length. Their secondary structure includes four short double-helical elements and three loops (D, anti-codon, and T loops). The record is from RNAcentral. Lineage: Eukaryota; Metazoa; Cnidaria; Anthozoa; Scleractinia; Caryophylliidae.